UACGGGGUGAGCAAGCGUUGUUCGGAUUUACUGGGCGUAAAGGGCGCGUAGGCGGCCACUGCAAGUCGGUUGUGAAAUCUCCGGGCUUAACCCGGAAAGGUCAACCGAUACUGCAGGGCUAGAGUGCGGAAGGGGCAACUGGAAUUCUCGGUGUAGCGGUGAAAUGCGUAGAUAUCGAGAGGAACACCUGCGGCGAAGGCGGGUUGCUGGGCCGACACUGACGCUGAUGCGCGAAAGCGUGGGGAGCGAACAGG
Molecule: ribosomal RNA, 254 nt
Filed under: uncultured bacterium
Lineage: Bacteria
Description: partial 16S ribosomal RNA
Rfam family: Bacterial small subunit ribosomal RNA
Source: RNAcentral